AGAGUUUGAUCCUGGCUCAGGACGAACGCUGGCGGCGUGCCUAAUACAUGCAAGUCGAGCGGGGUUGUUUAGAAGCUUGCUUCUAAUUAACCUAGCGGCGGACGGGUGAGUAACACGUAGGCAACCUGCCCACAAGACAGGGAUAACUACCGGAAACGGUAGCUAAUACCCGAUACAUCCUUUUCCUGCAUGGGAGAAGGAGGAAAGGCGGAGCAAUCUGUCACUUGUGGAUGGGCCUGCGGCGCAUUAGCUAGUUGGUGGGGUAAAGGCCUACCAAGGCGACGAUGCGUAGCCGACCUGAGAGGGUGAUCGGCCACACUGGGACUGAGACACGGCCCAGACUCCUACGGGAGGCAGCAGUAGGGAAUCUUCCGCAUGGGCGAAGCUGACGGAGCACGCCGCGUGAGUGAUGAGUUUCGGAUCGUAAGCUCUGUGCAGGGAGACGCUUGAGAGAGUACUGCUCUGAGUGACGGUACUGAAAGAAGCCCGGCUACUACGUGCAGCAGCGCGUAUACGUAGGGGC
RNAcentral lists this ribosomal RNA (523 nucleotides) under Paenibacillus sp. HKA-15. RNAcentral's name for it is "bacterial SSU rRNA". It matches the Rfam family "Bacterial small subunit ribosomal RNA", at positions 8 to 534 of the family's 1533-position model. The record is from RNAcentral. Lineage: Bacteria; Bacillati; Bacillota; Bacilli; Caryophanales; Paenibacillaceae.